Molecule: long non-coding RNA, 2045 nt
Organism: Myxocyprinus asiaticus (Chinese sucker)
Lineage: Eukaryota; Metazoa; Chordata; Actinopteri; Cypriniformes; Catostomidae
Exons: 2
Source: RefSeq, a predicted model, not a curated record
CUUUACAGAACAAAUAUAACUACUGUAUUGUAAUGUAUGCUUCUGUUCAUGUGUUGCAUUAUUGUAACUUUACAAUCAAUUGUCAAUCAAGGCAAUCACUGCAAACAACAGUGCUACCAACAAGACUAAAUAGGACUCGGACUCUGCACUCAAAAAGGUAUAUUAUACACAUUCCAUUUUAAUAUUAAAAUGUACAUCAACAUGAAUUCAUAAUCUUAAAAACAUUAAUGAACAAAAUAAGGUGUAUUUAAACAUUUAAGUUGCCUACAUUACGUUGUCCCUCAAAAUGUUUGUUCUCUCAGAGAUUAUUUAGCAGAGAUGGGCCACUUCUAUUUAAAUGAAUGGGAGGAAUUGGAACGCUCAACCAAGGAGCUCUGAGCACUCAACAGUCACCGGCUGUACAAAGAAUGUACAAAGGAUGGACAAAGAAAGUCCCGCCUUACAGACAUCGCCUGUCAAUCAACUCUAGAAUGCGCAUUAUCUAUACAAGCCGGGAAACUUGCGUUCGUGUCGCAUUAGUAGACAUUAAUUUAACUGAUGGAGUCGUAGGGAUGAUGUUAAUGCUGACUGUCUGUUCUUUUUGGAGCUUCAAAUGUCAGAUCACCACCCACUUGCAUUUUAAGGACCUACACUGAGCUGAUAUGUUUUUAUAUUUUUCUUCAAAUGUGUUCUGCUGAAAAUAGAAAGUCAUACACACCUGGAAUAUCAUGAGGGUAUCAAGAGAGUUGCGUGGUGGACAACAUUAAGGUGUGCAGCAAUAACACUGGAACGGCCGCUUCAAACGUGUGUGCAUCACAAACCGCGUUCCCAGGAACCCCGCCAUUGGCGAUAGGUUCGCCAGCCGACACGGUCAGAAGGGAUUUCUGAGUCGCCUGUGGCCCGCCGAGACAUGCCCUUCACUGAGAGCGGUAUGCACCCUGACAUCCUGUUCAACCCCCACGGAUUCCCCUCUAGAAUGACCAUCGGAAUGCUGAUCGAGAUCCUGGCUGGCAAAUCGGCAGCCCUCCACGGGCUGUGCCAUGACGCCACACCCUUCAACUUCUCCGAGGAGAGCUCUGCGUUUGAGUACUUCGGUGAGAUGCUGAAAGCCGCGGGGUACAACUACGGUGUCAGCGGCUUGGAGUCGGAAGCGGACAUCUUCAUCGGGGUGGUUUACUACCAGCGCUUGCGUCAUAUGGUCUCCGACAAGUUCCAAGUGUAAACUACAGGAGCGAGAGAUAAAGUGACCAAUCAGCCUUUGGGAGGCAGCAACGUGUAGGGAGGAAUCCGGUUUGGAGAGAUGGAACGCGACGCUUUGCUGGCUCACGGGACGUCUUUCCUGUUCACGAUUAGCUGUUUAACUGCUUGGACAGUUCCGUGGCUCAGGUUUGCAUCGACUGUAGCAGCCUGCUCUCUCCGCUUCUCGAAAAUCCGCCUCCUGAUUGGUCAGCUACACAGCAUCGGAAGACUGUCUGCUUGUUCUGCAAUGAGUGAUUCUAUUGAGAAUGUCUGUUCCGUAUGUGUUCCGAUACUUUGUAGCAGAGCUUGCGGCCAUGAACAUUAAAAUAAAAUUAGAUGUUAAGUAAAAUGAUUUGACUGUUCAGUUGCUUUGCCUACAUGGUAAAUUACGUGCCUCAAUGUAUAAUGAGAAGUCUUUCGUUUGUUUUUUCUCUCCAAGUGUUCACAUGUCUCACCCUUCCGACAUACUAUGUCUGGAAUCGAGUAAUAGUUUUAAACUGUUAAAUUUAGCGGAUGCAUUUAUCCAAAAUAACUUACAAAACAGUGCAAUCUGUGGAAAGUUUUAUCAAUUGGACUGUUUAAACUUUGUGUCAUUCAGCAGGAGAGACAGAGGGCAAUUGUAAUGCUCUAAAUUUCUUCAAACACAAACAAGACGGAGUAAUGACACAUUCUGUAUUUUCAGUAAAGUUCUUUAUCUGCCUGAGAAGACUGUACAAGUGCAUACAUUUGUAAGAAAUUGACAACAAAAAUUAGAGGUAUAAAAGUGAUUUUCUGUUUGGAUGUCCAGAACUUUUCUUCUGCUGCCUUUUGAAUGUACAUUUUUAUAU